This 130-nucleotide non-coding RNA is filed under the name Burkholderia sp. RNAcentral's name for it is "SAH sequence". It matches the Rfam family "SAH (S-adenosyl-L-homocysteine) riboswitch aptamer". The record is from RNAcentral. Lineage: Bacteria; Pseudomonadati; Pseudomonadota; Betaproteobacteria; Burkholderiales; Burkholderiaceae.
CGCUUCCGAGGAGCGUUGCGACGGGUAAUCGCUUUACAUUCGCCCGCCAGGCUCGGAGCAUUCAAUCCGGACGGUUCGAAGGCAUGGAAAAUGCCCGCUGAGCCACCGCAUCGAACGGCGCUCACGUCAA